UACGUAGGGUGCGAGCGUUUAAUCGGAAUUAUUGGGCGUAAAGCGCACGUAGGCGGUUCGUUAAGUCGGAUGUGAAAGCCCUCGGCUCAACUGAGGAAGUGCACCCGAAACUGGCGAGCUUGAGUACGAAAGAGGAUCGCGGAAUUCCCGGUGUAGAGGUGAAAUUCGUAGAUAUCGGGAGGAACACCGGUGGCGAAGGCGGCGAUCUGGGUCGAUACUGACGCUGAGGUGCGAAAGCGUGGGGAGCAAACAGG
RNAcentral lists this ribosomal RNA (254 nucleotides) under uncultured bacterium. RNAcentral describes it as "partial 16S ribosomal RNA". It matches the Rfam family "Bacterial small subunit ribosomal RNA", at positions 524 to 776 of the family's 1533-position model. The record is from RNAcentral.